AGACCCCCCACAUGUUGUGAAUUUGGUUGGAGUAAAGAUCUAAGGGUCCAUACUGGGCUAUAAAAAUAGUGUAGUACUUGAGCAGUACUGUAAAAAUGGCAAUUAUAAAUAAUUAUGAGUGUUGAGGAGGUAAUAUGAACACUCAAGUUCAAAGCAGUAAAAUAAAAAUUAAAAAAAAAAGACAGACUUAGGUAAGCCAUCUAUCAACUCGGAGAAUGCUGAUGCUUUGUUGAAAGAGAGCUUUGUCUUACAAAUUAGGCACUUAUAAAAACUCAUCACUCACUGCAGAUGUUACUUUAAGACAUUCUGGAGCAGCGUCAUGUGCAGUCAUGUGAAAGUAUAUUCCAAACCCAGAACCUGAGCACAGAUUGGGACUGAGAAACACUUGUCUAGAUUGUCAGGCAAUCUGUAACAUCAGCAGUGGAUGGAAAGAAGGAGAAAGAUGAGUUUUAUGGACGCUAACCCAUCUAUAUGGCUUUGGAAAAUAAAGUACUGCUGUUUUUUUUUG
RNAcentral lists this long non-coding RNA (508 nucleotides) under Homo sapiens (human). RNAcentral describes it as "HSALNT0325503". Lineage: Eukaryota; Metazoa; Chordata; Mammalia; Primates; Hominidae. The record is from RNAcentral.